This 253-nucleotide ribosomal RNA is filed under the name uncultured bacterium. RNAcentral describes it as "partial 16S ribosomal RNA". It matches the Rfam family "Bacterial small subunit ribosomal RNA", at positions 524 to 776 of the family's 1533-position model. The record is from RNAcentral.
GACGAACCGUCCAAACGUUGUUCGGAAUCACUGGGCUUAAAGGGCGCGUAGGCGGCUGCUCAAGUCGGCGGUGAAAUCUUUCGGCUCAACCGGAAAAGUGCCGCCGAUACUGGGGAUCUCGAGGGAGGUAGGGGUCGAGGGAACUUCCGGUGGAGCGGUGAAAUGUGUAGAUAUCGGAAGGAACGCCGGUGGCGAAAGCGCUCGACUGGACCUCUGCUGACGCUGAGGCGCGAAAGCCAGGGGAGCAAACGGG